RNAcentral lists this transfer RNA (86 nucleotides) under Olavius algarvensis Gamma 1 endosymbiont. The stretch from base 4 to 80 matches the Rfam family "tRNA". Rfam says of the family: Transfer RNA (tRNA) molecules are approximately 80 nucleotides in length. Lineage: Bacteria; Pseudomonadati; Pseudomonadota; Gammaproteobacteria. The record is from RNAcentral.
GUUAGAGUAAUGAAAUUGGUAGACAUGAUGGAUUCAAAAUCCAUUACCUUCGCGGGCGUGCCGGUUCGAGUCCGGCCUCUGUACCA